Molecule: ribosomal RNA, 357 nt
Filed under: uncultured bacterium
Lineage: Bacteria
Description: bacterial SSU rRNA
Rfam family: Bacterial small subunit ribosomal RNA
Source: RNAcentral
CGAAGUAAGACUAAUACCCAAUGACGUCUCUAGAAGACAUCUGAAAGAGAUUAAAGAUUUUAUCGGUGAUGGAUGGGGAUGCGUCUGAUUAGCUUGUUGGCGGGGUAACGGCCCACCAAGGCGACGAUCAGUAGGGGUUCUGAGAGGAAGGUCCCCCACAUUGGAACUGAGACACGGUCCAAACUCCUACGGGAGGCAGCAGUGAGGAAUAUUGGUCAAUGGGCGAGAGCCUGAACCAGCCAAGUAGCGUGAAGGAUGAAGGUCCUACGGAUUGUAAACUUCUUUUAUACGGGAAUAAAGUUUCCUACGUGUAGGAUUUUGUAUGUACCGUAUGAAUAAGCAUCGGCUAACUCCGUG